This 497-nucleotide ribosomal RNA is filed under the name uncultured bacterium. Its description in RNAcentral is "partial 16S ribosomal RNA". It matches the Rfam family "Bacterial small subunit ribosomal RNA", at positions 28 to 507 of the family's 1533-position model. The record is from RNAcentral.
GAUGAACGCUGGCGGCGUGCCUAAUACAUGCAAGUCGAGCGAACAGACGAGGAGCUUGCUCCUCUGACGUUAGCGGCGGACGGGUGAGUAACACGUGGAUAACCUACCUAUAAGACUGGGAUAACUUCGGGAAACCGGAGCUAAUACCGGAUAAUAUAUUGAACCGCAUGGUUCAAUAGUGAAAGACGGUUUUGCUGUCACUUAUAGAUGGAUCCGCGCCGCAUUAGCUAGUUGGUAAGGUAACGGCUUACCAAGACAACGAUGCGUAGCCGACCUGAGAGGGUGAUCGGCCACACUGGAACUGGGACACGGUCCAGACUCCUACGGGAGGCAGCAGUAGGGAAUCUUCCGCAAUGGGCGAAAGCCUGACGGAGCAACGCCGCGUGAGUGAUGAAGGUCUUCGGAUCGUAAAACUCUGUUAUUAGGGAAGAACAAAUGUGUAAGUAACUAUGUACGUCUUGACGGUACCUAAUCAGAAAGCCACGGCUAACUACGUG